Molecule: ribosomal RNA, 483 nt
Filed under: Triticum aestivum (bread wheat)
Lineage: Eukaryota; Viridiplantae; Streptophyta; Magnoliopsida; Poales; Poaceae
Description: partial small subunit ribosomal RNA
Source: RNAcentral
AUGGAUAAAAAUAUACAUGGAUGCAAGCCAGCAAGCGUCUCGCUGACUGAAAACAGAAGUGGAGCGGGCGGUCUAGCAAGAACUCCCUCCGCCUUUGUUGCUGCCUGGAGUAAGCCGCACCAUAAUGUCACGAAUCCGCUUAUUGCAGAAGCUCUGGCUCUACAAGACGGAGUAAUUUUUGGCAAACUUCGGGGUUUUCCACGAGUGGUGUUUGAAGUAGAUUGCUUGGAGUUGGUACAACUCUGGAACUCGCGACAAUUUUCACGCUCUGUUAUAGCGCCUAUUCUUCUCGAAAUUGAAGGGCUAGCCUCAACUUUUCUUAGUUUUGAUGUUCAACAUGUAAUGAGACAAGCCAACAAUUCAGCGCACCUAUGUGCAAAGCAUGCAAGCACACUGGGAGUGACUGAUUGCUGGAUGAACUCUCCUCCCGGUUUCCUCGUGACGAGCCUGUUGGCUGAUCGCGCUGGAGCUGGAAAUGAUUGA